Molecule: non-coding RNA, 28 nt
Filed under: Bombyx mori (domestic silkworm)
Lineage: Eukaryota; Metazoa; Arthropoda; Insecta; Lepidoptera; Bombycidae
Source: RNAcentral
UAACUAGAAGUUUCGUUUGUCGGUUUGC